RNAcentral lists this ribosomal RNA (397 nucleotides) under uncultured bacterium. RNAcentral's name for it is "bacterial SSU rRNA". It matches the Rfam family "Bacterial small subunit ribosomal RNA", at positions 29 to 426 of the family's 1533-position model. The record is from RNAcentral.
AUUGAACGCUGGCGGCAUGCUUUACACAUGCAAGUCGAACGGCAGCGCGGGGGCAACCCUGGCGGCGAGUGGCGAACGGGUGAGUAAUGCAUCGGAACGUAUCCUGUAAUGGGGGAUAACGUAGCGAAAGUUACGCUAAUACCGCAUACGCUCGAGAGAGGAAAGUGGGGGAUCGCAAGACCUCACGUUAUAGGAGCGGCCGAUGUCCGAUUAGCUAGUUGGUGGGGUAAAGGCCUACCAAGGCGACGAUCGGUAGCUGGUCUGAGAGGAUGAUCAGCCACACUGGGACUGAGACACGGCCCAGACUCCUACGGGAGGCAGCAGUGGGGAAUUUUGGGACAAUGGGCGAAAGCCUGAUCCAGCCAUGCCGCGUGCGGGAAGAAGGCCUUCGGGUUGU